ACAUUAUUAAUUGGAUAUUCAUUAACUUUUGAAUGAGAAGGUAGCAAUCGAGCAGUUAUAGAACAUUCUUUGCUUUCACCAGGUUUUGAAAGGUCAGAAUAAUGAUCAAAUUGCUGUGACUAGAAUACUGAUAAGGACGAUUUUUAAGCUGAAAUUAGAUAAACAGAGGUGAGAGCAUGAUAGAAAAACGAAUAAAUUGUUUCGAAAUUUAUUUUUACGCAAGAAGUGACGUUGUUGUACUAAGGAUUACUCACUUGGCAACUUUCUAGUCAGAAUCUGGUAGUAGGUAGAGUAACAUUACAAGUCAUCUGAUUCUUCCGGAAUAACCUCGUGACCGAAAAAUGAUAAACGAAAACAAUGCUGUGAUCUGACCGCGCCUUUUAUCAAAUCGUCGAGAUUAAAACCCCUCUUUAAAUACAAUUAACUGAAAUACCUGUUGCUUUCAAAUCUGAAUAUUUUUGUGCAGAUUAAUAAUAAAAAAUUAAAAGAUGGGAGCUGGUAAAGGAAAUGCAGUAGGGAUAAUAUGGUUUUUAGUUUGGCUUGUUAUUCUAGUGUUCGUUGCCUUUAUUGUUGCUGGAUUUUGCGCAGCCUGGUACAUUUUAUUGAGUUGCCUAACACCAUGUAUACCAGCUCUGACAUCCGUUACAGAUUUCUUGAUGAAGGGAGUCAUGUUUGUUAAUUAUUGUUCAAAAAAUAUGAUGGACAUGCGACCACUCUGUUAAUUACAUUUGUUUUAUCAUACAAUGACUGCUAGAUCAACAAAACUGCCACCUGUACAUAUAUAGUUUUUUAACUGUCUGUAAUUGUAACAAAAUAAAAAUGCUACUUUGUAUUUU
Parasteatoda tepidariorum (common house spider) is the source of this 836-nucleotide non-coding RNA. The record is from RefSeq and is a predicted model, not a curated record. NCBI's taxonomy places the organism in Eukaryota, Metazoa, Arthropoda, Arachnida, Araneae, Theridiidae.